UCGGGAAUUUUGGGCAAUGGGCGAAAGCCUGACCCAGCAACGCCGCGUGAGGGAUGAAGUAUUUCGGUAUGUAAACCUCGAAAGAAUGGGAAGAAUAAAUGACGGUACCAUUUAUAAGCUCCGGCUAACUACGUGCCAGCAGCCGCGGUAAUACGUAGGAAGCAAGCGUUGUUCGGAUUUACUGGGCGUAAAGGGCGCGUAGGCGGCGCGGUAAGUCACUUGUGAAAUCUCUGAGCUUAACUCAGAACGGCCAAGUGAUACUGCUGUGCUAGAGUGCGGAAGAGGCAACCGGAAUUCUUGGUGUAGCGGUGAAAUGCGUAGAUAUCAAGAGGAACACCUGAGGCGAAGGCGGGUUGCUGGGCCGACACUGACGCUGAUGCGCGAAAGCCAGGGGAGCAAAC
This 401-nucleotide ribosomal RNA is filed under the name uncultured bacterium. RNAcentral describes it as "bacterial SSU rRNA". It matches the Rfam family "Bacterial small subunit ribosomal RNA", at positions 355 to 773 of the family's 1533-position model. The record is from RNAcentral.